CGUGCUUAACACAUGCAAGUCGAACGAUGAACCCGCUUGCGGGGGAUUAGUGGCGAACGGGUGAGUAACACGUGAGUAACCUGCCCUUAACUCUGGGAUAAGCCUUGGAAACGGGGUCUAAUACUGGAUAUUGACUUUUCCUCGCAUGGGGAUUGGUUGAAAGAUUUAUUGGUUUUGGAUGGACUCGCGGCCUAUCAGCUUGUUGGUGAGGUAAUGGCUCACCAAGGCGACGACGGGUAGCCGGCCUGAGAGGGUGACCGGCCACACUGGGACUGAGACACGGCCCAGACUCCUACGGGAGGCAGCAGUGGGGAAUAUUGCACAAUGGGCGAAAGCCUGAUGCAGCGACGCCGCGUGAGGGAUGACGGCCUUCGGGUUGUAAACCUCUUUCAGUAGGGAACAAGGCCAGUGUUUAGCUGGUUGAGGGUACUUGCAGAAGAAGCGCCGGCUAACUACGUGCCAGCAGCCGCGGUAAUACGUAGGGCGCAAGCGUUAUCCGGAAUUAUUGGGCGUAAAGAGCUCGUAGGCGGUUUGUCGCGUCUGCCGUGAAAGUCCGGGGCUCAACCCCGGAUCUGCGGUGGGUACGGGCAGACUAGAGUGAUGUAGGGGAGACUGGAAUUCCUGGUGUAGCGGUGAAAUGCGCAGAUAUCAGGAGGAACACCGAUGGCGAAGGCAGGUCUCUGGGCAUUAACUGACGCUGAGGAGCGAAAGCAUGGGGAGCGAACAGGAUUAGAUACCCUGGUAGUCCAUGCCGUAAACGUUGGGCACUAGGUGUG
This 776-nucleotide ribosomal RNA is filed under the name Arthrobacter psychrolactophilus. Its description in RNAcentral is "bacterial SSU rRNA". It matches the Rfam family "Bacterial small subunit ribosomal RNA", at positions 43 to 824 of the family's 1533-position model. Lineage: Bacteria; Bacillati; Actinomycetota; Actinomycetes; Micrococcales; Micrococcaceae. The record is from RNAcentral.